RNAcentral lists this ribosomal RNA (397 nucleotides) under uncultured bacterium. RNAcentral describes it as "bacterial SSU rRNA". It matches the Rfam family "Bacterial small subunit ribosomal RNA", at positions 362 to 776 of the family's 1533-position model. The record is from RNAcentral.
UAUUGCACAAUGGGGGAAACCCUGAUGCAGCAACGCCGCGUGAGGGAAGAAGGUUUUCGGAUUGUAAACCUCUGUUCUUAGUGACGAUAAUGACGGUAGCUAAGGAGAAAGCUCCGGCUAACUACGUGCCAGCAGCCGCGGUAAUACGUAGGGAGCGAGCGUUGUCCGGAUUUACUGGGUGUAAAGGGUGCGUAGGCGGCGAGGCAAGUCAGGCGUGAAAUCUAUGGGCUUAACCCAUAAACUGCGCUUGAAACUGUCUUGCUUGAGUGAAGUAGAGGUAGGCGGAAUUCCCGGUGUAGCGGUGAAAUGCGUAGAGAUCGGGAGGAACACCAGUGGCGAAGGCGGCCUACUGGGCUUUAACUGACGCUGAAUCACAAAAGCAUGGGUAGCAAACAGG